GGAUGGGUAUGCCUAGCGGCGAGGGCAGGGGUCUGUAAAACCCUGACAUAAGAGACAACGUAGGUUCGAGUCCUACCCCAUCCA
This 84-nucleotide transfer RNA is filed under the name Lachnospiraceae bacterium. Its description in RNAcentral is "tRNA-Tyr". It matches the Rfam family "tRNA". Rfam says of the family: Transfer RNA (tRNA) molecules are approximately 80 nucleotides in length. Their secondary structure includes four short double-helical elements and three loops (D, anti-codon, and T loops). Further hydrogen bonds mediate the characteristic L-shaped molecular structure. tRNAs have two regions of fundamental functional importance: the anti-codon, which is responsible for specific mRNA codon recognition, and the 3' end, to which the tRNAs corresponding amino acid is attached (by aminoacyl-tRNA synthetases). tRNAs cope with the degeneracy of the genetic code in two manners: having more than one tRNA (with a specific anti-codon) for a particular amino acid; and 'wobble' base-pairing, i.e. permitting non-standard base-pairing at the 3rd anti-codon position. The record is from RNAcentral. Lineage: Bacteria; Bacillati; Bacillota; Clostridia; Lachnospirales; Lachnospiraceae.